This 408-nucleotide long non-coding RNA is filed under the name Physcomitrium patens. RNAcentral describes it as "long non-coding RNA (PPAT_LNC013275)". Lineage: Eukaryota; Viridiplantae; Streptophyta; Bryopsida; Funariales; Funariaceae. The record is from RNAcentral.
AGAAAUUUCAAAUAAACAAUAAGAAUUCUUAAAGAAAUAUUAGAAGGAUCACAAAUAUCACUUAAAUAUAUCUCAAUUCAAUCUUAAUUUAAUUCUAGUUAAAAUCUUAUUGAACUUUAUUCAAACUUUAGGCCAAAACUAAUUGAAUCUUAAAUCCUAAUAAAAUCCUAAACCCUAAAUCAAACCUUAAACCAAAUCCCAACCAAACUCUAAAUCAAAAUCUAAAUCCUAAAUCAAAUCCUAACCAAAUCCUAAUCCAAAUCCUAAAUCAAACCCUAACCAAAUCCUAAUCCAAAUCCUAAAUCCUAAAUCAAAUCCUAACAAAAUUCUAAACCCUAAAUCAAACCCUAACAAAAUCCUAAACCCUAAAUCAAACCAUAACCAAAUCCUAAACCAAAUCCUAGUAAU